This 1340-nucleotide ribosomal RNA is filed under the name metagenome. Its description in RNAcentral is "bacterial LSU rRNA". It matches the Rfam family "Bacterial large subunit ribosomal RNA", at positions 1591 to 2925 of the family's 2925-position model. The record is from RNAcentral.
GAGCUGAGUUCACACUGUCAAGAAAAGCCGCGCGUACCGGCGAACGGAAGCCUGACCAUUCUAAAAACUGACACAGGUAGGCUAGUCGAGAAGGCUAAGGGGAGCGGGAGAACCUCCGCUAAGGAACUAGGCAAAAUGGCCCCGUAACUUCGGGAGAAGGGGCGCUCCUGCGGGUUAAGAGCUAGCGGGAGCUGCAAAGACCAGGCUCUGGCGACUGUUUACCAAAAACACAGGACUCUGCGAACACGAUGAGUGGACGUAUAGGGUCUGACGCCUGCCCAGUGCUGGAAGGUUAAGGGGAGUGGUCAGCGCGAGCGAAGCUACGAACCGAAGCCCCAGUAAACGGCGGCCGUAACUAUAACGGUCCUAAGGUAGCGAAAUUCCUUGUCGGGCAAGUUCCGACCUGCAUGAAUGGCGUAACGAUCGGAGCACUGUCUCAGCGGAGGGCCCGGUGAAAUUCCAAUCUUGGUGAAGAUGCCAAGUUACCCGCGAUUAGACGGCAAGACCCCAUGAAGCUUUACUGUAUCCUAAUAUGGUAUAGUGGUGGAAGGCGUACAGGAUAGGUGGGAGGCAGCGAACGCAGCGCGUCAGCGCUGCGGGAGCCGACGGUGGGAUACCACCCUCCUUCCAGCGUUAUACUAACCGAGGUAGGUGGAGAGCCUAUCAGGGACAGUGUUAGGGGGGCAGUUUGACUGGGGCGGUCGCCUCCAAAAAGGUAACGGAGGCGCGCGAAGGUGGGCUCAGGCUGGUUGGGAAUCAGCUGGCGAGUGCAAGGGCAAAAGCCCGCCUGACAGUGAGAGAGACAUCUCGAGCUGAGACGAAAGUCGGUCCUAAUGGCCAGGUGGUGCUGUGUGGAAAGGCCAUCGCUCAACGGACAAAAGCUACUCUGGGGAUAACAGGCUGAUACCGUCCGAGAGUCCAUAUCGACGACGGUGUUUGGCACCUCGAUGUCGGCUCAUCGCAUCCUGGGGCUGUAGUCGGUCCCAAGGGUUGGGCUGUCCGCCCAUUAAAGCGGUACGUGAGCUGGGUUCAGAACGUCGUAAGACGGUUCGGUCCCUAUCUGUCGCGGGCGCAGGAUACUUGAGAAGGCUUCUCCCCAGUACGAGAGGACCGGGAGGAGUGGACCGCUGGUGAACCAGUUGUGCUACCAAGCGCAUAAGCUGGGUAUCUAAGUCCAUGAGUGAUAAGCGCUGAAAGCAUCUAAGCGCGAAACAUGCUUCAAGAUGAGGUAUCCCAUCGAAAGAGUAAGGGCCGUUCGAGAACAGGACGUAGAUAGGCCGCAGGUGGAAGCGGUGCGAGCCGUGCAGCCGAGCGGUACUAAUCGCCCGAGGCCUUGACCA